RNAcentral lists this ribosomal RNA (464 nucleotides) under Vreelandella stevensii. Its description in RNAcentral is "partial 16S ribosomal RNA". It matches the Rfam family "Bacterial small subunit ribosomal RNA", at positions 338 to 795 of the family's 1533-position model. The record is from RNAcentral. Lineage: Bacteria; Pseudomonadati; Pseudomonadota; Gammaproteobacteria; Oceanospirillales; Halomonadaceae.
CCUACGGGAGGUAGCAGUGGGGAAUAUUGGACAAUGGGCGAAAGCCUGAUCCAGCCAUGCCGCGUGUGUGAAGAAGGCCUUCGGGUUGUAAAGCACUUUCAGUGGGGAAGAAAGCCUUGGGGCUAAUACCCUCGAGGAAGGACAUCACCCACAGAAGAAGCACCGGCUAACUCCGUGCCAGCAGCCGCGGUAAUACGGAGGGUGCGAGCGUUAAUCGGAAUUACUGGGCGUAAAGCGCGCGUAGGCGGUCUGAUAAGCCGGUUGUGAAAGCCCCGGGCUCAACCUGGGAACGGCAUCCGGAACUGUCAGGCUAGAGUGCAGGAGAGGAAGGUAGAAUUCCCGGUGUAGCGGUGAAAUGCGUAGAGAUCGGGAGGAAUACCAGUGGCGAAGGCGGCCUUCUGGACUGACACUGACGCUGAGGUGCGAAAGCGUGGGUAGCAAACAGGAUUAGAUACCCUGUAGUC